AUUGAACGCUGGCGGAAUGCUUUACACAUGCAAGUCGAACGGUAGAGGGGGCAACCCCUCGAGAGUGGCGAACGGGUGAGUAAUAUAUCGGAACGUGCCCAGUCGUGGGGGAUAACGUAGCGAAAGUUACGCUAAUACCGCAUACGAUCUAAGGAUGAAAGCGGGGGAUCGCAAGACAUCGCGCGAUUGGAGCGGCCGAUAUCAGAUUAGGUAGUUGGUGGGGUAAAGGCUCACCAAGCCAACGAUCUGUAGCUGGUCUGAGAGGUCGACCAGCCACACUGGAACUGAGACACGGUCCAGACUCCUACGGGAGGCAGCAGUGGGGAAUUUUGGACAAUGGACGCAAGUCUGAUCCAGCCAUUCCGCGUGCAGGAUGAAGGCCCUCGGGUUGUAAACUGCUUUUGUACGGAACGAAAAGGUCUCUCUUAAUACGGGGGGCUCAUGACGGUACCGUAAGAAUAAGCACCGGCUAACUACGUGCCAGCAGCCGCCGUAA
This 496-nucleotide ribosomal RNA is filed under the name uncultured bacterium. RNAcentral's name for it is "partial 16S ribosomal RNA". It matches the Rfam family "Bacterial small subunit ribosomal RNA", at positions 30 to 523 of the family's 1533-position model. The record is from RNAcentral.